UUCUGUAGGUGAACUCGCGGAAGGAUCAUUA
Molecule: ribosomal RNA, 31 nt
Filed under: Phellinus laevigatus
Lineage: Eukaryota; Fungi; Basidiomycota; Agaricomycetes; Hymenochaetales; Hymenochaetaceae
Description: partial 18S ribosomal RNA
Source: RNAcentral